AUGAUCGUCGGCAAGAGUUCUCAUUACGUACACAUGACCAUCACGACUGCUGCUUUUCAUUGCUAUGGUCUGCCUGGCCGUCGUGACGAGCACUCUACUGUCGACCCCAGGAAUAACAGGGAAAGCAUCUUUUAUAUCGACCCAAAAGUCUUCCCGCAUGUCAUCGAUUACAAUGAAGAACCUGAUACAGAGAUGAAGAGACAGAGAGUAGAAUUCACAGAAGAAAGAGGGCACCAGAUUCAGAGUUUCAGGGGAAGAGGUGAAGAGCAGAGUUACAGGUCACAAACUUUUCCAAUGGCAAAAAACAACGGCAAAGCAAACAACUCUCGCUCAAGGGCCGGGACAGCUGUCGACGACGCACCGACUUGCGCUAGACGAUACAGAGCCAACCAUCAGAUCAAGCAGUCCACUUUGGGCCACUGA
This 423-nucleotide ribosomal RNA is filed under the name Triticum aestivum (bread wheat). RNAcentral describes it as "partial small subunit ribosomal RNA". Lineage: Eukaryota; Viridiplantae; Streptophyta; Magnoliopsida; Poales; Poaceae. The record is from RNAcentral.